CCCCGGCGGGCCCCGGGGUGGCCCCGCCGUUCGCCGCGCCGCCGACCGAGGGACGCAGCGCCCGGCUCUGGCUCGGCCUCGGGGCCGGGGC
This 91-nucleotide transfer RNA is filed under the name Micromonospora sp. MW-13. RNAcentral's name for it is "tRNA-Ala". The record is from RNAcentral. Lineage: Bacteria; Bacillati; Actinomycetota; Actinomycetes; Micromonosporales; Micromonosporaceae.